Molecule: long non-coding RNA, 273 nt
Organism: Zonotrichia leucophrys gambelii
Lineage: Eukaryota; Metazoa; Chordata; Aves; Passeriformes; Passerellidae
Exons: 3
Source: RefSeq, a predicted model, not a curated record
AAGAGGCAGGGCCUAGAGGAGCUGCCUACAGGAAACAUCAAGGAGGUCCAAGUUUUCAAACCCAGAGACUGGAAGUUCAGUUUACUCUGUGGCUGGAAAGAAGCCCUACUCUGUCCUAAGAGAAAAAUGAAAAUACUAAUUCCAUCUAUAAAUAGACUAUGAAAACUGGAAGAUCUUCCCUCCAAUGUGUGCCUGUGGGAAAAUGAAAGAUUACUCUUUUGAGAAGCUGACAUUAUAUAUAUCAAAAGAAUAAAUGUCUCAUUAUCAUUUUUA